GGCUUUGGGGCGUGCGCGUGGUAGAACUAGUUUCUAUAGCAACAAUCAUGGUUGAAAAUGGCGGAGAAACUCUGGCAGGAGAGAACAAAGAUGUCCUUAGGAUGAUAGGCCAGUCUACCCGGGAGGGGAUAGUAUGACGAGUAGUUUAGAGUGUGAUCUCAUGAUAGAGUCGCUCCAAAGAGAGUUGGACAUAGUCCGGUUGGAGCAUGAAGCCAUAGUCCUGCAACAAAUUCUAUAAAUACUGGAGCAGGAGGAGGAGGAGAAGGAGAGGAAAGACUUAUUGGCCAUAAUGCCACUGAUGAUGUCAAAGUGGCCCUGAUCAACCGUGGAGCAGGGAUAGUAAGAGCAUGCAAAGGGAUAUAUCAUAAUGCUUUGC
RNAcentral lists this long non-coding RNA (376 nucleotides) under Amphimedon queenslandica. Its description in RNAcentral is "uncharacterized LOC109590283". The record is from RNAcentral. Lineage: Eukaryota; Metazoa; Porifera; Demospongiae; Haplosclerida; Niphatidae.